ACUAGGAAGAAAGACCAGCCUACAAGAUGAUGCCCGAAUCGCUUACUAUCUCGAAGGAUUGGCUGUGAUCUGCUUCUGUCAAGCGCUACACAAGGUACUGGGUGUGGCUUAUAACCUGAGGCAGCUAUGUGUAAAGAGAAACAGUGGCAGUGGUAAAAAGGUGUGACUGGAUCCAAUAAUCAGAGGUGGGGCCACGUAUGGGACAGAGGAACAGUGGCAGUAGCAGCGAGAUAUAAAAAGUGUCUGAUGUCUGUGGCUACUGCUGAUACUUUGCUGUCACACUAUGCACUGCCACUGGGUCCCUUUUGGAGUACCUUGGAGUCGCCUCUGUCAAGAGUAGAAUACAUGACAAUGCCAUGUACAGGAAGGUUGACGUUGGUGGUAGGACUUUCACAACAGUGCUCAGCUCAUGCAGUGUCGAUGUCCUAUCCAGAUCGAUAAUUUAUUGUUGUAAUUAAUUGUUGUAAUUAUUGUGUACUGUAC
Halichondria panicea is the source of this 483-nucleotide long non-coding RNA. RefSeq lists it as uncharacterized. The record is from RefSeq and is a predicted model, not a curated record. NCBI's taxonomy places the organism in Eukaryota, Metazoa, Porifera, Demospongiae, Suberitida, Halichondriidae. The transcript is spliced from 5 exons.